This 398-nucleotide long non-coding RNA is filed under the name Actinidia chinensis (golden kiwifruit). Its description in RNAcentral is "long non-coding RNA (ACHI_LNC002580)". The record is from RNAcentral. Lineage: Eukaryota; Viridiplantae; Streptophyta; Magnoliopsida; Ericales; Actinidiaceae.
AGAAUGUCGAUAGGCCUACUUUCUAGUAUCGACGGAAUCUUUUUCUGUUAUGUUGAUGGCAGGAGGAAAAAUGUGGAUGUCUUGCUCUCAAAAUCUUGUUUAGUCACUAUACUAAUUAUGAACAUGUUCCCUUCUUAGUGGAAAUUCCUAUAUUCAUAAAUUUUCUACCUGUGGAGGCAGGAUUUGGGGUCCCUACAUGGGAUUGCCAUGAAAAAAUAGGAGUUGCUGCAGUUGCUUUUACUCUCUACGCCCCACUGUUGAGUAAUGAAAUGCUUUUUUUCUAUUUCCACCCCCCUCACCCAACCCAACCCCCUUAGUGGACUUUCCAAUAUUCAUAAAUUUUCUACCUUCAGUGGAGGCAGGAUUUGGGGUCCCUACAUGGGAUUACCAUGAAAAAA